This 483-nucleotide ribosomal RNA is filed under the name uncultured bacterium. RNAcentral's name for it is "bacterial SSU rRNA". It matches the Rfam family "Bacterial small subunit ribosomal RNA", at positions 28 to 526 of the family's 1533-position model. The record is from RNAcentral.
GACGAACGCUGGCGGCGUGCUUAACACAUGCAAGUCGAACGGUAAGGCUCCUUCGGGAGUACACGAGUGGCGAACGGGUGAGUAACACGUGAGCAACCUGCCCUUGACUUUGGGAUACCAGCUGGAAACAGCUGCUAAUACCGGAUACGACCCCUUGACGCAUGUUUUGGGGUGGAAAGCUCCGGCGGUCAGGGAUGGGCUCGCGGCCUAUCAGCUUGUUGGUGAGGUAAUGGCUCACCAAGGCUUCGACGGGUAGCCGGCCUGAGAGGGCGACCGGCCACACUGGGACUGAGAUACGGCCCAGACUCCUACGGGAGGCAGCAGUGGGGAAUAUUGCACAAUGGGCGCAAGCCUGAUGCAGCAACGCCGCGUGCGGGAUGACGGCCUUCGGGUUGUAAACCGCUUUCAGUAGGGACGAAGCUAACGUGACGGUACCUACAGAAGAAGGACCGGCUAACUACGUGCCAGCCGCCGCCGUAACAC